CCUACGGGGGGCUGCAGUGGGGAAUAUUGGACAAUGGGGGCAACCCUGAUCCAGCCAUGCCGCGUGUGUGAAGAAGGCCCUCGGGUUGUAAAGCACUUUCAGUGAGGAAGAACGCCUGGUGGUUAAUACCCAUCAGGAAAGACAUCACUCACAGAAGAAGCACCGGCUAACUCCGUGCCAGCAGCCGCGGUAAUACGGAGGGUGCGAGCGUUAAUCGGAAUUACUGGGCGUAAAGCGCGCGUAGGUGGCUUGAUAAGCCGGUUGUGAAAGCCCCGGGCUCAACCUGGGAACGGCAUCCGGAACUGUCAAGCUAGAGUGCAGGAGAGGAAGGUAGAAUUCCCGGUGUAGCGGUGAAAUGCGUAGAGAUCGGGAGGAAUACCAGUGGCGAAGGCGGCCCUCUGGACUGACACUGACACUGAGGUGCGAAAGCGUGGGUAGCAAACAGGAUUAGAUACCCCGGUAGUC
Molecule: ribosomal RNA, 465 nt
Filed under: Vreelandella stevensii
Lineage: Bacteria; Pseudomonadati; Pseudomonadota; Gammaproteobacteria; Oceanospirillales; Halomonadaceae
Description: partial 16S ribosomal RNA
Rfam family: Bacterial small subunit ribosomal RNA
Source: RNAcentral